This 253-nucleotide ribosomal RNA is filed under the name uncultured bacterium. RNAcentral describes it as "partial 16S ribosomal RNA". It matches the Rfam family "Bacterial small subunit ribosomal RNA", at positions 524 to 776 of the family's 1533-position model. The record is from RNAcentral.
UACGGAGGGUGCAACCGUUAUCCGGAUUCACUGGGUUUAAAGGGAGCGUAGGUGGGUUGGUAAGUCAGUGGUGAAAUCCCCGAGCUUAACUUGGGAACUGCCAUUGAUACUAUCAGUCUUGAAUACUGUGGAGGUUAGCGGAAUAUGUCAUGUAGCGGUGAAAUGCUUAGAUAUGACAUAGAACACCAAUUGCGAAGGCAGCUGGCUACACAAUUAUUGACACUGAGGCUCGAAAGCGUGGGGAUCAAACAGG